GGUUCGGGUCCGGAAGGCGGUGAUCUCCGUGGGGGCGCUCCUCGAGGUCUCCCGGCGGUCGAGCUCGGUGGUUCGGUUCGGCAGGUCGGGUCGGCGGCUCGGGUCGGGAGGCAGCUCCGCCGCAGCUUCGGGAAGAGGCGACACCGUCUCGCACCUGCACACAGGUCGGGCCGGGAGCUCGGCCCGACCCCUCCGACGAUCAAGUUAGAGAAAAAUGUGGAGGGGAUUGUGGAUGAGGCAGAAGAAGAGCCUCUGAGUGUUUUGUGUCUGAGUGAGUUCCUCUUUUCCUUCUUUUGUUCAGGGCUUCGGGGUAUUUAUAGAGGAGGUUUGAUGUUACCCGACGUAGCUGUCUGCAGGGCAGGACUGUACCUUUGGUGGCGUCUGACAUUGCCACUGGGGCUGCGUGGGAGACCGGGAGAUCGCAGGGUAUGGGCGAGCUUCAACCGUUACCUGCUUCUGUCUCGUCCGGCUGUGCUGGGUCUGCCAUUUUUUGUCAUAUCAUAUG
Molecule: long non-coding RNA, 505 nt
Filed under: Musa acuminata (dwarf banana)
Lineage: Eukaryota; Viridiplantae; Streptophyta; Magnoliopsida; Zingiberales; Musaceae
Description: long non-coding RNA (MACU_LNC003765)
Source: RNAcentral